GCCGGGUGUGGUGGUGUACUCCUGUAAUCCCAGCUACUCAGGAGGCUGAGGCAGGAGAAUCCCUUGAGCCCAGGAGGCAGAGGCUGCAGUGAGCCAUGAUUGUGCCACUGCACUCCAGCCUGGGCAACAGAGAGAGACUCUGUCUAAA
This is an unclassified non-coding RNA of Macaca fascicularis (crab-eating macaque), 148 nucleotides long. It matches the Rfam family "Metazoan signal recognition particle RNA". From Rfam's summary of the family: The signal recognition particle (SRP) is a universally conserved ribonucleoprotein. The record is from Ensembl. Lineage: Eukaryota; Metazoa; Chordata; Mammalia; Primates; Cercopithecidae.